RNAcentral lists this long non-coding RNA (250 nucleotides) under Durio zibethinus. RNAcentral describes it as "long non-coding RNA (DZIB_LNC001181)". Lineage: Eukaryota; Viridiplantae; Streptophyta; Magnoliopsida; Malvales; Malvaceae. The record is from RNAcentral.
GUUUUUCUUCUUCUAGCUAGAUCUUGCACUCUUCUUUCAUAAUUUGCACUUGAAGUCAACCAAAUGAACCCUCAAAAGUCAACUUUUUCUUUAAUGCACCAAAAGGCUUUGCUCUAACUUGGUAUGUUUAGCUUGACUUUGAUAUUUUUGGUUUAAUGGCAUCCUUAAUUAAUCAAAUUAGUGCUCAAGGACCUUGAUUCUCAUCUUUAAAUUAUUAACCUACACAAAUAAAAAAAUAAACAAGUUUAAG